UGGGGAAUAUUGCACAAUGGGGGAAACCCUGAUGCAGCGACGCCGCGUGAAGGAAGAAGUAUUUCGGUAUGUAAACUUCUAUCAGCAGGGAAGAAAAUGACGGUACCUGACUAAGAAGCCCCGGCUAACUACGUGCCAGCAGCCGCGGUAAUACGUAGGGGGCAAGCGUUAUCCGGAUUUACUGGGUGUAAAGGGAGCGUAGGCGGCGAUGCAAGUCAGAAGUGAAAGCCCGGGGCUCAACUCCGGGACUGCUUUUGAAACUGUGUUGCUAGAUUGCAGGAGAGGUAAGUGGAAUUCCUAGUG
RNAcentral lists this ribosomal RNA (303 nucleotides) under uncultured bacterium. Its description in RNAcentral is "bacterial SSU rRNA". It matches the Rfam family "Bacterial small subunit ribosomal RNA", at positions 355 to 675 of the family's 1533-position model. The record is from RNAcentral.